This is a small nuclear RNA of Drosophila mauritiana, 150 nucleotides long. RefSeq annotates it as U1 spliceosomal RNA. The transcript has a single exon. NCBI's taxonomy places the organism in Eukaryota, Metazoa, Arthropoda, Insecta, Diptera, Drosophilidae. The record is from RefSeq and is a predicted model, not a curated record.
ACUUUUCCAAGAAGCACAGAACAUAAGCAAAAUCGGCCAUUUUCUUGGCCAUUGCACCUCGGCUGAGUUGACCUCUGCGAUUAUUCCUAAUGUGAAUAACUCGUGCGUGUAAUUUUUGUUAGCCGGGAAUGGCGUUCGCGCCGUCCCGAC